This 442-nucleotide ribosomal RNA is filed under the name uncultured Porphyromonas sp. RNAcentral describes it as "bacterial SSU rRNA". It matches the Rfam family "Bacterial small subunit ribosomal RNA", at positions 355 to 794 of the family's 1533-position model. The record is from RNAcentral. Lineage: Bacteria; Pseudomonadati; Bacteroidota; Bacteroidia; Bacteroidales; Porphyromonadaceae.
UGAGGAAUAUUGGUCAAUGGGCGAGAGCCUGAACCAGCCAAGUCGCGUGAAGGAUGAAGGUUCUAUGGAUUGUAAACUUCUUUUAUUCGAGGGUAAAGUGAGGUACGUGUACCUUAUUGCAAGUAUCGAAUGAAUAAGCAUCGGCUAACUCCGUGCCAGCAGCCGCGGUAAUACGGAGGAUGCGAGCGUUAUCCGGAUUUAUUGGGUUUAAAGGGUGCGUAGGCGGCAAGUCAAGUCGGCGGUCAAACUGCGGGGCUCAACCCCGUACCGCCGUCGAAACUGGCGUGCUUGAGUGGAGAAGAAGUAUGCGGAAUGCGAGGUGUAGCGGUGAAAUGCAUAGAUAUCGCGCAGAACUCCGAUUGCGAAGGCAGCGUACUAUCCUCCAACUGACGCUGAGGCACGAAAGCGUGGGUAUCGAACAGGAUUAGAUACCCUGGGUAGU